GGUUGUGGCUCAGUGGUAGAGCGAUUGCUUAGCAUGUCUGAGGCUCUGGGUUCGUUCCCCAGCACCA
Molecule: transfer RNA, 67 nt
Filed under: Marmota monax (woodchuck)
Lineage: Eukaryota; Metazoa; Chordata; Mammalia; Rodentia; Sciuridae
Description: tRNA.Ala
Source: RNAcentral